GGAUACUCUGGGUGAUCACCAUCUCCAGAUUCUGUCCAAGUGACGUACAGGAGCAUAGGGCUCCAUGCCAUGUCAUACAGUCCCUUUCUAGAUGAGCUUUGUGUCUGCAUCUGCAUAUUUUGAGGAUCCUGUGGGACAAUGUUAGAGGAUACAAAUCAUGUAGGAAACAUGU
Molecule: small nucleolar RNA, 172 nt
Filed under: Nannospalax galili (Upper Galilee mountains blind mole rat)
Lineage: Eukaryota; Metazoa; Chordata; Mammalia; Rodentia; Spalacidae
Description: Small nucleolar RNA SNORA73 family (ENSNGAG00000010198.1)
Source: RNAcentral